GGGCGUAGUUCAGAGGUAGAACGUCAGCUUCCCAAGCUAAUGGAAGCUGAGUGAUUUCAACCGAAUCUCUGUAAACUGCCCG
RNAcentral lists this transfer RNA (82 nucleotides) under Caulobacteraceae bacterium. Its description in RNAcentral is "tRNA-Gly". Lineage: Bacteria; Pseudomonadati; Pseudomonadota; Alphaproteobacteria; Caulobacterales; Caulobacteraceae. The record is from RNAcentral.